UGCCACAUUUUGCCGUUGUCAUCGACCACCUUUGUAAUACGACCACAUCGCAACCACAUCGCAACCACAACGCAACCACAUCGCAACGGCAACGCCGCCACGCGGCGGCGGCACCGCGGCAACCUGUUCUCCGUAUUAACUGCACACGAUGACGUGGUCC
Molecule: non-coding RNA, 160 nt
Organism: Plutella xylostella (diamondback moth)
Lineage: Eukaryota; Metazoa; Arthropoda; Insecta; Lepidoptera; Plutellidae
Source: RefSeq, a predicted model, not a curated record